CACGUAGGGCGCGAGCGUUGUCCGGAAUUAUUGGGCGUAAAGAGCUCGUAGGCGGCCUGUUGCGUCCGCUGUGAAAGCCCGGGGCUUAACCUGGGAACUGCGUCGGAUACUGGUUGGCUUGAAUUCGGGAGAGGGAUGCAGAAUUCCAGGUGUAGCGGUGAAAUGCGUAGAUAUCUGGAGGAAUACCGGUGGCGAAGGCGGCAUCCUGGACCGACAUUGACGCUGAACGGCGAAAGCUAGGGGAGCAAACGGG
Molecule: ribosomal RNA, 253 nt
Filed under: uncultured bacterium
Lineage: Bacteria
Description: partial 16S ribosomal RNA
Rfam family: Bacterial small subunit ribosomal RNA
Source: RNAcentral